Molecule: long non-coding RNA, 694 nt
Filed under: Crocodylus porosus (Australian saltwater crocodile)
Lineage: Eukaryota; Metazoa; Chordata; Crocodylia; Crocodylidae
Description: lncRNA (ENSCPRG00005006336.1)
Source: RNAcentral
CUCCGCCCCUGCUGGGUGAGAACAACCUCCCAGGAACUUGAACGGAUCCAACGUGCAGCUAUUUACCCCGUGGGCAACAGCAAGGGGCAGGCAGGAACGACCUUGGUAGCAGGAGCCAGUGUCAGGCCGGGCGGGGAUUGGCUCAGCCAGCCCCCCUCCCUCCUCCCCUAAUCGCGCACGUGGGCAAGAAGUGGGGGCUGGGACAGAACCUCACCUGGGAGCCCGGCAGGGGGCGGGGCCACUGACGUCACGGGCGACGGUGGCCCCGGGCCCCGCCAAACCCUCUCAGCCAGGGGCGCCGCAGGAUGGGGGAGGGGAGGGGAGAGGGAGCGAGCCACUGCGUCCCCCACCGCCCACCUGGUCUCCUGGUUGCUGAAUUUCUUGGUGACCACCUUGCCCAGCUCCAGCCCGAGCCGGUCGGCCACCCGCUGGGACAGGUCCUGGAUUGACAACCUAUAUGUUCCUGUGGAGCCAUUGGAUCCAUCCAGCAGAGCAGAGGGUUCAGCAGCACCCCCUAGCAGGGGCUUUGCCCCCCAAUCCUGUGGCAGAGAGAACAUCUGAUGGUAUCUCUCAAAUUUUGUCAGCAUCCAAGAAGCUAGAAAUUUACUGGUACUUUUUAAAAUUUGAAGCUAAGAUUCUCACCUAAUUGCUGGUCUUCAGGAUCUGGGACUUCAGGCUAAACAACAAAUAUGGU